RNAcentral lists this ribosomal RNA (547 nucleotides) under uncultured bacterium. RNAcentral's name for it is "bacterial SSU rRNA". It matches the Rfam family "Bacterial small subunit ribosomal RNA", at positions 358 to 916 of the family's 1533-position model. The record is from RNAcentral.
GGAAUAUUGGGCAAUGGAGGAAAUUCUGACCCAGCGACGCCGCGUGCGGGAUGAAGGCCUUCGGGUUGUAAACCGCUUUCAGCAGGGAAGAAGCGAAAGUGACGGUACCUGCAGAAGAAGCACCGGCUAACUAUGUGCCAGCAGCCGCGGUAAUACAUAGGGUGCAAGCGUUGUCCGGAAUUAUUGGGCGUAAAGAGCUCGUAGGUGGUUCGUCACGUCGGAUGUGAAACUCUGGGGCUUAACCCCAGACCUGCAUUCGAUACGGGCGAGCUUGAGUAUGGUAGGGGAGUCUGGAAUUCCUGGUGUAGCGGUGGAAUGCGCAGAUAUCAGGAGGAACACCAAUGGCGAAGGCAGGACUCUGGGCCAUUACUGACACUGAGGAGCGAAAGCGUGGGGAGCGAACAGGAUUAGAUACCCUGGUAGUCCACGCCGUAAACGGUGGGCACUAGUUGUGGGGACCUUCCACGGUCUCUGCGACGCAGCUAACGCAUUAAGUGCCCCGCCUGGGGAGUACGAUCGCAAGAUUAAAACUCAAAGGAAUUGACGG